Molecule: long non-coding RNA, 300 nt
Organism: Oncorhynchus keta (chum salmon)
Lineage: Eukaryota; Metazoa; Chordata; Actinopteri; Salmoniformes; Salmonidae
Exons: 3
Source: RefSeq, a predicted model, not a curated record
GGGUUAGGAGGAGAGAGAGUAGGGUUAGGAGGAGAGAGAGUAGGGUUAGGAGGAGAGAGAGUAGGGUUAGGAGGAUCAGAGAGUAGGGUUAGGAGGAUCAGAGAAGAGGGUUAGGAGGAUCAGAGAGUAGGGUUAGGAGGAGAGAGAGUAGGGUUAGGAGGAGAGAGAGUAGGGUUAGGAGGAGAGAGAGUAGGGUUAGGAGGAGAGAGAGUAGGUUUAGGAGGAGAGAGAGUAGGUUUAGGAGGAGAGAGAGUAGGGUUAGGAGGAGAGAGAGUAGGGUUAGGGGGAGAGAGAGUAGGG